Molecule: long non-coding RNA, 300 nt
Filed under: Lathyrus oleraceus (garden pea)
Lineage: Eukaryota; Viridiplantae; Streptophyta; Magnoliopsida; Fabales; Fabaceae
Description: Pisum sativum (pea) long non-coding RNA (PSAT_LNC006197)
Source: RNAcentral
AUUCUUUGUUUUCUUGUUGUAGCUCAUUUUGAUUCGGUCGAAGGAAAUGAAUUUUAUGGCUAGGUUUUCAAUCCCUUUUGGUCUUUUGAUUUGAGCUAACUGCAAUGUUGUUCAAUCCGAAAUAGAUUAUGUGAGUGUGAGGUUUUUUUUAUGUUCGUUUUGGUGCGAGGGUUUAUGAGUGAAUCGUUCUUUGGAAAAAAACAGAGGGCCGAAUGAGAGAGAAGAGAGUAAGCAUUUAUUAUUUUUUUUAGGUUUGUUUAUGCUGGUAUUAUUGAUAAUGUCUGUUAAAUGCAUUUCAAU